Molecule: ribosomal RNA, 2900 nt
Filed under: Klebsiella pneumoniae
Lineage: Bacteria; Pseudomonadati; Pseudomonadota; Gammaproteobacteria; Enterobacterales; Enterobacteriaceae
Description: bacterial LSU rRNA
Rfam family: Bacterial large subunit ribosomal RNA
Source: RNAcentral
UUAAGCGACUAAGCGUACACGGUGGAUGCCCUGGCAGUCAGAGGCGAUGAAGGACGUGCUAAUCUGCGAAAAGCGUCGGUAAGGUGAUAUGAACCGUUAUAACCGGCGAUGUCCGAAUGGGGAAACCCAGUGCAAUUCGUUGCACUAUCGUUAACUGAAUACAUAGGUUAACGAGGCGAACCGGGGGAACUGAAACAUCUAAGUACCCCGAGGAAAAGAAAUCAACCGAGAUUCCCCCAGUAGCGGCGAGCGAACGGGGAGCAGCCCAGAGUCUGAAUCAGCUUGUGUGUUAGUGGAACGGUCUGGAAAGUCCGACGGUACAGGGUGAUAGUCCCGUACACCAAAAUGCACAGGCUGUGAACUCGAAGAGUAGGGCGGGACACGUGGUAUCCUGUCUGAAUAUGGGGGGACCAUCCUCCAAGGCUAAAUACUCCUGACUGACCGAUAGUGAACCAGUACCGUGAGGGAAAGGCGAAAAGAACCCCGGCGAGGGGAGUGAAAAAGAACCUGAAACCGUGUACGUACAAGCAGUGGGAGCACCUUCGGGUGUGACUGCGUACCUUUUGUAUAAUGGGUCAGCGACUUAUAUUCUGUAGCAAGGUUAACCGUAUAGGGGAGCCGCAGGGAAACCGAGUCUUAACUGGGCGUUAAGUUGCAGGGUAUAGACCCGAAACCCGGUGAUCUAGCCAUGGGCAGGUUGAAGGUUGGGUAACACUAACUGGAGGACCGAACCGACUAAUGUUGAAAAAUUAGCGGAUGACUUGUGGCUGGGGGUGAAAGGCCAAUCAAACCGGGAGAUAGCUGGUUCUCCCCGAAAGCUAUUUAGGUAGCGCCUCGUGAAUUCAUCUUCGGGGGUAGAGCACUGUUUCGGCUAGGGGGGCAUCCCGACUUACCAACCCGAUGCAAACUACGAAUACCGAAGAAUGUUAUCACGGGAGACACACGGCGGGUGCUAACGUCCGUCGUGAAGAGGGAAACAACCCAGACCGCCAGCUAAGGUCCCAAAGUCAUGGUUAAGUGGGAAACGAUGUGGGAAGGCACAGACAGCCAGGAUGUUGGCUUAGAAGCAGCCAUCAUUUAAAGAAAGCGUAAUAGCUCACUGGUCGAGUCGGCCUGCGCGGAAGAUGUAACGGGGCUAAACCAUGCACCGAAGCUGCGGCAGCGACACUAUGUGUUGUUGGGUAGGGGAGCGUUCUGUAAGCCUGCGAAGGUGACCUGUGAGGGUUGCUGGAGGUAUCAGAAGUGCGAAUGCUGACAUAAGUAACGAUAAAGCGGGUGAAAAGCCCGCUCGCCGGAAGACCAAGGGUUCCUGUCCAACGUUAAUCGGGGCAGGGUGAGUCGACCCCUAAGGCGAGGCCGAAAGGCGUAGUCGAUGGGAAACAGGUUAAUAUUCCUGUACUUGGUGUUACUGCGAAGGGGGGACGGAGAAGGCUAUGUUAGCCGGGCGACGGUUGUCCCGGUUUAAGCAUGUAGGCUGGUUAUCCAGGCAAAUCCGGAUAAUCAAGGCUGAGGUGUGAUGACGAGGCACUACGGUGCUGAAGUAACAAAUGCCCUGCUUCCAGGAAAAGUCUCUAAGCAUCAGGUAACAUCAAAUCGUACCCCAAACCGACACAGGUGGUCAGGUAGAGAAUACCAAGGCGCUUGAGAGAACUCGGGUGAAGGAACUAGGCAAAAUGGUGCCGUAACUUCGGGAGAAGGCACGCUGGUGUGUAGGUGAAGCCCCUGCGGGUGGAGCUGAGACCAGUCGAAGAUACCAGCUGGCUGCAACUGUUUAUUAAAAACACAGCACUGUGCAAACACGAAAGUGGACGUAUACGGUGUGACGCCUGCCCGGUGCCGGAAGGUUAAUUGAUGGGGUUAUCCGUAAGGAGAAGCUCUUGAUCGAAGCCCCGGUAAACGGCGGCCGUAACUAUAACGGUCCUAAGGUAGCGAAAUUCCUUGUCGGGUAAGUUCCGACCUGCACGAAUGGCGUAAUGAUGGCCAGGCUGUCUCCACCCGAGACUCAGUGAAAUUGAACUCGCUGUGAAGAUGCAGUGUACCCGCGGCAAGACGGAAAGACCCCGUGAACCUUUACUAUAGCUUGACACUGAACAUUGAGCCUUGAUGUGUAGGAUAGGUGGGAGGCUUUGAAGCGUGGACGCCAGUCUGCGUGGAGCCAACCUUGAAAUACCACCCUUUAAUGUUUGAUGUUCUAACGUUGGCCCCUGACCGGGGUUGCGGACAGUGUCUGGUGGGUAGUUUGACUGGGGCGGUCUCCUCCCAAAGCGUAACGGAGGAGCACGAAGGUUAGCUAAUCCUGGUCGGACAUCAGGAGGUUAGUGCAAUGGCAUAAGCUAGCUUGACUGCGAGCGUGACGGCGCGAGCAGGUGCGAAAGCAGGUCAUAGUGAUCCGGUGGUUCUGAAUGGAAGGGCCAUCGCUCAACGGAUAAAAGGUACUCCGGGGAUAACAGGCUGAUACCGCCCAAGAGUUCAUAUCGACGGCGGUGUUUGGCACCUCGAUGUCGGCUCAUCACAUCCUGGGGCUGAAGUAGGUCCCAAGGGUAUGGCUGUUCGCCAUUUAAAGUGGUACGCGAGCUGGGUUUAGAACGUCGUGAGACAGUUCGGUCCCUAUCUGCCGUGGGCGCUGGAGAAUUGAGGGGGGCUGCUCCUAGUACGAGAGGACCGGAGUGGACGCAUCACUGGUGUUCGGGUUGUCAUGCCAAUGGCACUGCCCGGUAGCUAAAUGCGGAAGAGAUAAGUGCUGAAAGCAUCUAAGCACGAAACUUGCCCCGAGAUGAGUUCUCCCUGAGACUAUAAGUCUCCUGAAGGAACGUUAAAGACGAUGACGUUGAUAGGCCGGGUGUGUAAGCGCAGCGAUGCGUUGAGCUAACCGGUACUAAUGAACCGUGAGGCUUAACCUU